Molecule: long non-coding RNA, 3511 nt
Organism: Triticum dicoccoides
Lineage: Eukaryota; Viridiplantae; Streptophyta; Magnoliopsida; Poales; Poaceae
Exons: 7
Source: RefSeq, a predicted model, not a curated record
AUGCGCGUCGUGCCAUUUGCGGGAGCGUGGGUAGCCAUGCCCUCGAAAGCACCUUGGUCCAAUCCCAUCGCCCCGCAUGCCACAACCCCUCCCUCCUCUUCGAUCUCUCUCCCUCCUCAGCCGCCACAAACCCUAGCCCCCUUUCCUACGAUCCAGCCGUCGCUACCCCUCCUCCAUCCAACCUCCAUCGUCAGCCGCCGCCGCCGCUACGGCUCCUCCGUCCACCGACUCCGUCCGUGCAGGUGGCCAGUUUCCUUCCGCCUCGACCUUCUCCACGGUCUCCCCAGUUCACCCCCCAUCCCUUGCUGCCCGAGGUGCUCAUCUUCCCAGGUCGUGAGGAAGCCGCGUGGGGAUGGAAUCACCACGUCGUGCCGCCGGGGGAAGCCUUGGAUCCACGCAGGGGGCCUCCCCGGGGGCGCAGAGGAGGGGUUGUGGAGGCGUGAGGCCAGAAGGACCCCUCUUGCGUCGCUCGUCUCCACCUCAUAUCCGGCAUCUUUGCUGCCGCCAUAGAUCGAGGAGGACGGCACGAUGACGACCAUGAUGUAUCGGACAUCCCAGAUUGACGAUGCCAUGGAAGCCAUGAGAGCUGGCCAAGGAAGAGGGGGCAGUGUCGCAGGCCAUGAAGGGCACGGCGGCUGCGGGCGGAAGCAGCAUGGGUUGAAGGAGCGGCGGAUGUGGGCGGGGUCAGAGGUUGGGGGAGACUCGUCGGCUGGGCGACAGCGAGCGCCGGUGAGUGCAAGCAUGUGUUUCCAAAAGCGUCAUCUCUUACAAGGCAGGCAAGGACGACGUCGUCGCCCUCGCAGGUUCUACGAUCUGUCACAUCUCUGUUCUCCUCGUUAAGGUUUUUGUGGGUGCUAUCAUGGUGCUUGGUCUGCUGAUCAUUUUAAUGUUCUGAGAGGGGAGGCGGCCAAUGACAGGGAGAAGGAGGAGGCUGUUGAGGAGUGCAAGCAGAAGGGGAUUAUCCUCUUGCUUAUUUAGUAUUUCCUCUGUUCUCUGAAGAUUAAUUUUGGCCCAUACAGUUUCCGGUGACUGGAAGUCUGAAACUGAAGACAGGGCAUAUUGUUUUGGUUAUGAGUGGUUGGAAAUAUUGUGGCUUGAUGUCCCUAGAGCAGUCAGACCCUUCCAAGAUAGGUGUUAAAAUCCUAGGUGCCAAGGGCAUUGUGGUGGUGCAAUCCAUGUCUCCUGCGAGCGCUCGGCAUGGCGUCCAUAGCCCCAAAGAGCAAGGCUUCAAGGUUCUUUUCAUUGAAUGACUUGAUUUGUUUCUCCUAUGUUGUGCUCGAUUACUAACUGAAACUGUAGCUCUGCUAUGUAUCAGGCUGGACAACAAGCUUCACUUGAUGAAAGCAUUUCCCUUCUAAAAUAGAGUAAUGCUGAGAUUAAUGCACAAGUUAGUCUUGAUACUAAGGUGGUUAUGGGAUUGCUUGAUCUAUGCUAGGCCAAUAUGUCAGCCAACCACUUAAAAAUAAUCACUUGCAUUUCUUCCUAUGAACUCUGAAACCUGACGAGUGACGACGCAUAAAAAAUUAGCAAUAGAAGGUGUCAGUGAACACGAGUACUCAGUCAAGAGCAAUAUAGCGGUAGAUACUUUACAGUGUAAUUUUAUAUAAGAAUAAAUAAAUGGCACUUAAGUUGUUAAGAAAUUGUUGUUGGAGUAUUGUCUCACCCUUUAUCUACUCUCUCGAAAACUGUGGAUUGCUAUGGGCUGGAGCUCCAGGGGAGGAGGGAGGUAAGCGUGGAUGCAAUGGAUAUUGUUCGGAUAAAAAGUUGGGUGGAAACUGAGUAGUGACGGUGAGACUUAUUCCAUUUGUUUCUCCUUUGCCCUUUUAAUCAAGAACAACGUUCAGAGCUUGCAUGGUUGUCGAAAUAUAAUUCUGUAAAAGAGAAAUAUUGAUAUCAUGCAAUGAUCAAUGCAGAGUAGGAUAGUUAUAGAGUUCUUCCUUAGUUUUCAUUGAGCAAAGAUUGGAUCUGUGCGAUUUGUUCUAAUACCAAGUAAAUCUUGGUCUGCAUAGUUUUUUUCCUAUAUUCUUUUAAAAAAAUUGGGACUUGAUGUGAAAAAGGGUGUGUGUUGACAUGCAUGUAACCAAAUCAUGGAUUAAUGCGAGGUACUAUAUAUACUUGCCUAUCUCUCUGCAAAAGCUUAUGGCCCUCUUUGAUACGACUAGGAACAUCAAAACCAAAUGGGAUUUAUUUGAGUGUACUUCAGAUGGCCAUACUAUAAGUGCACCAUUACUAAAUAGUAUAUGAAUCUUCCUUGUAUAAUUAAGAUGCACUUUCUACAUAGCGCUUCUAUAUAUUGAUACUGUGUGAUCACUUAACAUAAAUCUGGCUAGGCGAUUUGCUCGCCUAACUCUCUGGUUGCAUAUAAUCCGAUCCUGAUAGUGACAUGAUUUACUCUGUUUGAUCAAACAGGUAGAAGCCAAAGCUGUUUUACGUGAAUCUAAUGACGUCCCCGCUGCUAUAAGCUAGGAGUUUGAUAAAUUCAACAUUGGCAAUCUGGUCUUGUGCUCUUCGUCCAAAAGCAUAUUCUGAUAGUGAGAUUCUUAUUGUGGAUGUUUCAGCGUCAACCUGAAUUUUGUUUAACCUACUACAGAAAGACCUUCUAGGGUGAUUAGCUGCAGUACUGUGACAAAUAAUGAAAAAAACUCAGUGUCUUCUCAUUUAAUAUUCUAGCUGCAACUACUUGACUACAAGUUUUAUGUGGAAUUUUUCUGUACAGCUUGCACAAACUCAGUGAGAUCGGGAAUCAUCAUCUCACAUUUUUUUCUGUUGAAAGUGAUAGACAAUAGGCAAUUUACUAGAGCAGUUCAAGCAAGAAUACUUCCAGAAUACAUCUUGUGAUCUGUUGGUAACAACACCAAGUUUGCCAACUUGUUCAACCAAACAAAGUGUAUAACAUGCUUCAUUUUUGCAAGUAUAGAAGAAGGAAAAGAGAGCAUUGGAUUUUGAGUUAACGAAAUAUAUUUGCAAAAAAGAGAGUUAAUGAAAUAUUCUCAAUCAAGAAAACUCAAGGUCGGUUCAGUCAACAGAAAAGAAUAAGGGCUUCGAGAUGCACCGUGAGGGCUGAAACGAGUCUUAUACCGGGUCUUUCAUGAAUUUAGUUAGCCUAAAUACUUCCAGAAUCCCUCUUGCAAUAUGUAAAAGAAGGAAAAUAGAACAUUGGAGGAAAAGGCAGCAGAGUGGAUUCUUUAAGCUUUCUCAAAUGUUUGAACAAGGAAAAGAUAGUUACAAUCAUUUUUCUCUCGCCUUGUUACAUCUUGAUGUUAAUAGGCUUUGGAAGGUACUAUGCACCCCGUUCAAGGUUUAUAGAAUUUGCACGAUCCUAUUACAGUUUGUUCUGAUGACAGAAUUGACUAGUUCUUCCUUGAGGAAAUUAAUAUUUCAGCUGCUACUCCUUUGUGCAUUGUUACAUAGAGUUAUAGUUGUGAAGAUGUGUACGCAUCAACAUAUAAUUCCCACCAUCCUAUUACAGUUUGGUCUGACGACGAAAUCGAGCAGCUCUUACUUGAGUAAA